GAGGCAAAGCCGCGAGGCAGAGCGAAUCUCAAAAAGCCGUCCCAGUUCGGAUUGCAGGCUGCAACCCGCCUGCAUGAAGUUGGAAUCGCUAGUAAUCGCGGAUCAGCAUGCCGCGGUGAAUACGUUCCCGGGCCUUGUACACACCGCCCGUCACACCAUGGGAGUCGGGAACACCCGAAGUCCGUAGCCUAACCGCAAGGGGGGCGCGGCCGAAGGUGGGUUCGAUAAUUGGGGUGAAGUCGUAACAAGGUACC
RNAcentral lists this ribosomal RNA (254 nucleotides) under uncultured bacterium. RNAcentral describes it as "partial 16S ribosomal RNA". It matches the Rfam family "Bacterial small subunit ribosomal RNA", at positions 1246 to 1500 of the family's 1533-position model. The record is from RNAcentral.